CGAUGACCUCCCCGCCCCCCCCACCCGGAAGGGUGGCUAUUUCGUUGGGGGGCCGGGAUGGGUAAUGCCGUCCGCCAUCUUGGUGAGGUCGCUUGGGACAUUGGCGCCUACAGCCCAGUCAACCAAGAGAAAAGUGUCAGGGCCUCGCUCCGGGGUCGGGGGUUGGGGGGGAGAAGAUCAUCAAACAAAAUUAAAACAGAGAAAAAAAAUUGCGGAUCUGAAAUAAACAGACACAGAAAUUGCUGGAGAAACGGAGCAGGUCCGGCAGCAUCCGUGAAGAGAAGACAAAGUCAGUGACGCUUCACUAUCAAACCAAGAUUUAAUGUUGAAACAUCUAAGGGAAGAUUUUUGGUACUGAAACGCUUAAAGUCACGUUAGUUUGACAAUCAGGUCGGCCCCUGAGGACUGAGGGAUGGUGGAGAAGUUCCUCCUCAUCUCAGUUCUAAAGGGUUGCCCCUACACUCUGAGGAUGUGCCCCUGGGUCUUUGUCUCUCCUACUGGUGGAAGCAUCUUUUCUACAUCCACUCUAUCCAGCCUCUUAGUAUUCUGGUAAAGAUAUGCAAGUAAUCCAACUCGGGAAGAGGCCACACUGGACCUGGGGUGAGGAAAUGAGCCCGGCCAGAGACAGGUUGUUGGCUCUGCGCCAGUCCGUUAGCCGCUGCACCCCCUCUCUGUGUGCUGACGACACCCACUACAUUCAUAUCACCAGCGAACUUGAUGAUGUGAUUCAAGCUGUGCACCGCUGCACAGUCGUGUGUCAACAGGGUGGACUGAAGUGAUAUAUUUAAUAAAUGUGUUGGCCUUUUUUGAAGGAGUAACAUUUGUUGUGGAUACAGAAAACCAUUGAAGUGACUGAUGAAAGUUAUUCCAGACUCAAGAAUCAAUUUGUGUGAAUAAACAAGCAAAAUGCAAUUAGUUAUACCUGAUGUUAAUAUAGGGGUUGCAUUACCUAUAAACAAACAUCCUUACAGAUUCAUCCCAAAGAAGUUAACUCAAAUGAGGGAAGAAAUUAAGUUCAUGAUGGACAAUGAUAUUAUUGAUCGAGGGUGGAAGGGCCUGUACUACGUUGUAAUGUUCUAUGUUCAAUGAACUGCAUCGUAGGAGCUUGAUUUCAGCUAUUGAGCAAAAACCAGAUUGGUCACAAAGAUUAUUGAUCAUUGAAUUGAAGUCAAUGUGAAAAAAAAAGGCAGAUUUAUAUCUGAUUUCACAACUGGAAUAUUGUAUUGAGAAGAUUGGACAAGCAUUUUUUAUUUUACAAAAAUUGACGUGUUUAAAGGAUAUCGGCAAGUUCCAUUAAUUGGUAAUUCCAACCACAUUUCAGUUUUUAUUAACACCAGAUGAACUUUAUCAAUGUAAAGUGCACAACUCACUUGGGUAGUGCCCUGGAAAUUGAAUCUCACUAUUCCCAGUGAUAUCACAACCAUUAAAGAUUUUAUAAAGUAUACAAAGUUCUCAUAUUUACUUGACUUUCGGACCUAGAUUAAUAGAAAGCACAGACUGAGUUUCUGUACUGAACAAGAAUGAUAUUUAUUACAAGUAAUUAGACUCUAGCUACAGAUAAACAAUUAUAUCAAUCAGUAUAAAACAUGACUAAUUCAAAUCUAAUUCCCUUAAAAACACACAGACAGACAAACAGACAAGGUAAAAUAGGUUAUUUAUAAAGGAGAAACACGAGAAAAACAGUUCAAUCAUCUUUGUUCCUCAGUUCAGUUAUUGUGAAAAUCUUAUGACUUUGUGUGCUGCUGGCCAGCUGUGGCAUCAGUUGUCUUUCUCCGGAUAUUUCCACUGGUUGGUAAGAGACACAAGGUGGCUGGUUCCCUUAUAACUGCUGACUUUUUUUGUCCAAAAAUCACAGCUAACAACAACUAUUACCAGACGGAUAAACUUGAGAUAAAGUUUUCUUUAGAUUUAUAGAGUUCCCACUACAGAGAUCAGAGAUACCACGCCUGUGGUGAACUGAACUCUCUGUAACAUAUUCCCAGCUCUUCAUUGUUCAGUCACCUGAGAAUCAAUAACACAGGCAGGCAAAAGCAUCUCUGUCAUUAAUAACUGGUCACUAGUCCAUAGACUAAUCAACUUCUUGUUGCCAACAAGAGCAGCAUGUGUCCACCACCUUGGCUCAAAUUGUCUGAAAUGUACAGUUCAGUUACUGCUUGUUUUCACAACACUCGAAAUGGCUGUCAGGUUACUUGCCUAUCAGAACAUAUAGCCACCCUUUCAAACACUGGGUCAUUCUUAAUUAAGUUCACAAUUUUUCAAAAAGCACAAAAUAAAGUCACGCAAUCCUUACACCAGUCAUGCCAACUUUUUGCUAAUUGACAAACAAAGUCUUAAAAGGAUUACACAAUUGUGAGGUUUACACUGGCGAUUUGGUUGUGUUCAGCCAAACUUGGGAAGAAGUUACAACAACUACACAAACUGUUUGCUUGGAUCCAAAGCAUCACUUUGGUAAUAAAUCUGGUGAAGAGUGAAUUGACAAAACUGAAGAUGACAUAUUUGGGCCACCCUGCAGGACAAAGUCAAGCAGCACUGAGAAUAAGUAAAGUGAAUAAUGGGGAUCCUGUGAUGUAACAUAUCUGGACUUCUGGAUGGCAUUUGAUUAGGUUAAUUCACAAGGUUGGAUCAUAUGGGAUUCAGUAAUUUAUUAGUUUGGAUAGGUGACUGGCUGAUGGACAGAAAACAGAGAUUCGGGAUAGAUGAGUUUAUUUUUCUGGAUGACAAGCUGUAACUAGUGGGAUGCCACAGUAUUCAGUCCUUGGGCCCCAGCUAUUUACAACCUACAUUAACGACUUGGAUACAGUGAUAGAAGGCUCUAGAGCCAAAUUUGGGGACAGCACAGAUAUAGAUGGGAGAAAAAAUAAGAACCUUACAACGGAUAUAGAUAGGUUAGGAGACUGGGCUAAAAUGUGGCAGAUGGAGUUUAAUGUGGAUAAGUGUAAGGUCAUGCAUUUUGAUCGAAAAAAUGGGAAGGUGAUGUAUUAUCUAAACAUGGAGAGUCUUCAGAGUGUUCUGGUGCAGAGGGAUCUAGGUGUACUUGUUCAGGAGUCACAGAAAACUUGCAUGCAGAUAUAGCAGAUAAUAAAGACAGCCAAUGGAAUGUUCACUUUUACAGCUAAAGGAAUAGAAUAUAAAGGUAAGAAAAUAUUGUUGCAACUAUACAGUAUAGGUGAGACUGCACCUG
This is a long non-coding RNA of Chiloscyllium plagiosum (whitespotted bambooshark), 3181 nucleotides long. RefSeq lists it as uncharacterized. The record is from RefSeq and is a predicted model, not a curated record. Lineage: Eukaryota; Metazoa; Chordata; Chondrichthyes; Orectolobiformes; Hemiscylliidae.